GACGAACGCUGGCGGCGUGCUUAACACAUGCAAGUCGAACGGUAAGGCCCUUCGGGGUACACGAGUGGCGAACGGGUGAGUAACACGUGGGUGAUCUGCCCUGCACUUCGGGAUAAGCCUGGGAAACUGGGUCUAAUACCGGAUAGGACCACUGCCUGCAUGGGUGGUGGUGGAAAGCUUUUGCGGUGUGGGAUGGGCCCGCGGCCUAUCAGCUUGUUGGUGGGGUGAUGGCCUACCAAGGCGACGACGGGUAGCCGGCCUGAGAGGGUGACCGGCCACACUGGGACUGAGAUACGGCCCAGACUCCUACGGGAGGCAGCAGUGGGGAAUAUUGCACAAUGGGCGCAAGCCUGAUGCAGCGACGCCGCGUGAGGGAUGGCGGCCUUCGGGUUGUAAACCUCUCUCAGCACCGACGAAGCGCAAGUGACGGUAGGUGCAGAAGAAGGACCGGCCAACUACGUGCCAGCCGCCGCGGUAA
This 478-nucleotide ribosomal RNA is filed under the name uncultured bacterium. RNAcentral describes it as "partial 16S ribosomal RNA". It matches the Rfam family "Bacterial small subunit ribosomal RNA", at positions 28 to 523 of the family's 1533-position model. The record is from RNAcentral.